Molecule: ribosomal RNA, 253 nt
Filed under: uncultured bacterium
Lineage: Bacteria
Description: partial 16S ribosomal RNA
Rfam family: Bacterial small subunit ribosomal RNA
Source: RNAcentral
UACGAAGGGUGCAAGCGUUACUCGGAAUUACUGGGCGUAAAGCGUGCGUAGGUGGUGCGUUAAGUCUGUCGUGAAAGCCCCGGGCUCAACCUGGGAAUGGCGAUGGAUACUGGCUCGCUAGAGUGCGGUAGAGGAGAGUGGAAUUCCCGGUGUAGCAGUGAAAUGCGUAGAGAUCGGGAGGAACAUCAGUUGCGAAGGCGGCUCUCUGGACCAGCACUGACACUGAGGCACGAAAGCGUGGGGAGCAAACAGG